RNAcentral lists this ribosomal RNA (846 nucleotides) under Escherichia coli. RNAcentral's name for it is "partial 23S ribosomal RNA". It matches the Rfam family "Bacterial large subunit ribosomal RNA", at positions 900 to 1746 of the family's 2925-position model. Lineage: Bacteria; Pseudomonadati; Pseudomonadota; Gammaproteobacteria; Enterobacterales; Enterobacteriaceae. The record is from RNAcentral.
GGGUAGAGCACUGUUUCGGCAAGGGGGUCAUCCCGACUUACCAACCCGAUGCAAACUGCGAAUACCGGAGAAUGUUAUCACGGGAGACACACGGCGGGUGCUAACGUCCGUCGUGAAGAGGGAAACAACCCAGACCGCCAGCUAAGGUCCCAAAGUCAUGGUUAAGUGGGAAACGAUGUGGGAAGGCCCAGACAGCCAGGAUGUUGGCUUAGAAGCAGCCAUCAUUUAAAGAAAGCGUAAUAGCUCACUGGUCGAGUCGGCCUGCGCGGAAGAUGUAACGGGGCUAAACCAUGCACCGAAGCUGCGGCAGCGACACUAUGUGUUGUUGGGUAGGGGAGCGUUCUGUAAGCCUGUGAAGGUGUGCUGUGAGGCAUGCUGGAGGUAUCAGAAGUGCGAAUGCUGACAUAAGUAACGAUAAAGCGGGUGAAAAGCCCGCUCGCCGGAAGACCAAGGGUUCCUGUCCAACGUUAAUCGGGGCAGGGUGAGUCGACCCCUAAGGCGAGGCCGAAAGGCGUAGUCGAUGGGAAACAGGUUAAUAUUCCUGUACUUGGUGUUACUGCGAAGGGGGGACGGAGAAGGCUAUGUUGGCCGGGCGACGGUUGUCCCGGUUUAAGCGUGUAGGCUGGUUUUCCAGGCAAAUCCGGAAAAUCAAGGCUGAGGCGUGAUGACGAGGCACUACGGUGCUGAAGCAACAAAUGCCCUGCUUCCAGGAAAAGCCUCUAAGCAUCAGGUAACAUCAAAUCGUACCCCAAACCGACACAGGUGGUCAGGUAGAGAAUACCAAGGCGCUUGAGAGAACUCGGGUGAAGGAACUAGGCAAAAUGGUGCCGUAACUUCGGGAGAAGG